CCUAGGGAGGCAGCAGUGAGGAAUUUUGCGCAAUGGGAGCAAUCCUGACGCAGCAACGCCGCGUGGGUGAUGAAGGCCUUCGGGUCGUAAAGCCCUGUCAGGUGGGAAGAAUGUCCCGGGACUGAACAGGUUCCGGGAGUGACGGUACCACCAGAGGACGCACCGGCUAACUCCGUGCCAGCAGCCGCGGUAAUACGGAGGGUGCAAGCGUUAUUCGGAAUUACUGGGCGUAAAGCGCGUGUAGGCGGUCCUGAAAGUCUGAUGUGAAAGCCCCGGGCUUAACCCGGGAAGUGCAUUGGAAACUGUGGGACUUGAGUAUUGGAGAGGAUGGGGGAAUUCCCGGUGUAGAGGUGAAAUUCGUAGAGAUCGGGAGGAAUAUCAGUGGCGAAGGCGCCCAUCUGGACGGUAACUGACGCUGAGACGCGAAAGCGUGGGGAGCAAACA
RNAcentral lists this ribosomal RNA (444 nucleotides) under uncultured prokaryote. RNAcentral's name for it is "bacterial SSU rRNA". It matches the Rfam family "Bacterial small subunit ribosomal RNA", at positions 338 to 774 of the family's 1533-position model. The record is from RNAcentral.